RNAcentral lists this ribosomal RNA (550 nucleotides) under uncultured bacterium. RNAcentral's name for it is "bacterial SSU rRNA". It matches the Rfam family "Bacterial small subunit ribosomal RNA", at positions 351 to 916 of the family's 1533-position model. The record is from RNAcentral.
GCAGUGGGGAAUCUUGCACAAUGGGCGAAAGCCUGAUGCAGCAACGCCGCGUGCGGGAAGAAGGCCCUAGGGUUGUAAACCGCUUUCAGUAGGGAAGAAAAUGACGGUACCUACAGAAGAAGGUGCGGCCAACUACGUGCCAGCAGCCGCGGUGACACGUAGGCACCAAGCGUUAUCCGGAUUUAUUGGGCGUAAAGAGCUCGUAGGCGGUUCGGUAAGUCGGGUGUGAAAACUCUGGGCUCAACCCAGAGAGGCCACCCGAUACUGCUGUGACUAGAGUGCGGUAGGGGAGCGGGGAAUUCCUGGUGUAGCGGUGAAAUGCGUUGAGAUCGGAAGGAACGCCCGUGGCGAAAGCGAGGUCCUGGAUGCCUACUGACGCUGAGACGCGAAAGCCAGGGGAGCGAACGGGAUUAGAUACCCCGGUAGUCCUGGCCGUAAACGAUGGGUACUGGAUAGGGGGCUCGCCGAUGGGCUCCCUGUCGUAGGGAAACCGUGAAGUACCCCGCCUGGGGAGUAUGGUCGCAAGGCUGAAACUCAAAUGAAUUGACGG